AUGGUACUUCGAGGGCCACUGUCUUUAACGACAAGACUUGGGGUCUUAGGAGCUUGCCCCCCGGGUGCCCUGGUGGCCACUAUCCCAAGGCAGGCUUCCAGUUGGUUCGGGUGGAACGCGUUUCUUACACGGAGGGAAACCCUGGCACCGCCCUCACGGAGAUCUGCCUCACCCUUACCAACAGAUGAUUCCACGGCUCUGUUGUGUUUGUGUUGCCAUCGGGGCUCUCGUUCAUUGGCGCCCAGAGAAAGUCCGGACUGUUCCCUGGGUGUUGGAUGCCUGUGUCCGGAUCCAGCGCUCGUCUCCCUGCUCUCGGCUCCUCUGGUUCCCUGUGCUCCGUGCCCCUGCGUCCUCGGGCUUCCACUGGAGAUGAGGCCGAGGCCGAGAGUUCUAUGAGAUCAGCAACCAUUCCUGUUGUUUAUAUUGCUAACGGCACGUGGACCGCGGCUUGACAUGGCUAUUCUGAACAUUUCUACCUAAGUUAACCGGCCGUCCAGCCCACCUGGCAGCACCACAGAAUGGCAAAACAGUGUCUUUAUCUUUCUCAUUCAUCACCUUGUCUGCCUCUUCUUCUCUCAUUGCACCUCCUGGGGGCCCACUACAUACCCUAGCAAUGCCUAGGAGGGUACCGGGUCCGCGCCCGGAGUGCACGUGACGAAUGACCACAGUACAGGGCUACCGCAUGUACAUGAAGAGCCAUGGGAGGAAAGAGGAGGGAGACAGUACCCAUCCCGUGGCUCCCCGAGGAGGUGGCUCCAGAGACAACCUUCAGCACCUGUUCACAGAGAUAGAACACAGGUGGGAGGAGGCAUGUGGGGUAGGUGGUGGUUUCGUGCUGAAGACUUUGGACUUGAUCCUAACAUCAAAGUGAACCACGGAAGGAGCCGAGCCAUGGAGGGACUGUCACAUAUGGUGCCUAGAGAUGUCCCUCUGGCCUCUGGUUAGACAUGGAGGGUGGGACAUUUGUAGUCACCUCUGCUCCUCCCAGAGCCCCUCACAGAUGGUGGUAGAGAUGAUACAUGUGUGUCUCACACAGAAUGAAGGAACGAGACAAGAAAGCCGGAGGAGGGAGCAGUGAACCGAGUGUCGGGUGGCAGGAAGCAGACGGACAGGCAGCAGCGGGCCUUCCCUUAGUCUUCCGUGCAGUCACAGCCCCCAGCUGGGGCCCUGUCCAGCGCCCUUGGGAAUUCGAAUGACAGAAGGAGGUACUAAAAUGCCAACUGUAAAGUUUUUGUGAUUUGUGGGUGAGGGCCCAGCAGUGUCAGCAUCUAUAGGUCUUUGAAAGUGGUCUGUCUCUAGAGAGGAACUUUACAGGUAAGGAAACUGAGGCCCACAGAAGUCAAUCUCCCCAAGGCUCCAUAGUGUGACAGUGGAGCAGGGAUUCAGACCAGUGCCCGUAAAGACAUGAAAAGAUAAUCUCUUCUAAUUUUUAUCUUUAAACAUCUAUAAAUGAAAUAAUUAUGUAAAAAUCCCCCCUUUUGGAAUACUACUCAGCCAUCAAAAAAAUGAAAUCCAGGGGCGCCUGGGUGGCUCAGUUGGUUAAGUGACUGCCUUUGGUCAUGAUCCUGGAGUCCCUGGAGUCAGAUCAAUCAAGGAAAUGCAAAUUAAAAGGACAGUGAGAUACCAUCUUACACCCACCAGACGGGCAGAAAUGCUAAUAUGGCAGACCAGGUGCUCGAGACGGUGAGAAUUAAGAGACUCACUUCCUGCUGGGAGUGUCGGGGAACAUUUUAAAGGCAGUUUGGCUGCAUCUGCUAAAAUGGAUGAGUGUAAAACCCAGUGUAACCGGGAGACGUGACUAGAAUGUCCAUAGCAGCAUAGAGUUUAUAGUAACGAAGUCCGGAGACAACCCAGAUGUUUACCCACAGAACAGACACACAAAUCGCAGUAGAGUUGUGUGGUGGACUAUUAUGCGGCAGGAAAAAAGGAGUAAGCUGCUGUUGUACGAGUCGGAACGAAUACAUUUCUACAAACAGCGUCGAGAAAAAAGUUAUAGAUACAUGUGAUAACCAUUUAUUUAAAUUCAAACACAUCCGACAUGUAAGGACACACAUACGGAUGUGGUAAAACAGCUCAGCCCUCUCGGUAACGUCCUGUAUCCUAAGCGGGGCGGCCAGCACGCGGCUGCUAACAUUGUCAUCACUCCUUGUAGUUGAUCCAUAUGACAGAUCUGAAUGCUCAGGGGACUCACGGGGAGCCUGGCUCCCCUCACUGCUGCCAUCCUUCCUCAAAAAGGACAGAAGUUGGGAGGCUUGCCUACAAUUCUCUUUUAAAGGGGGAGUUUUUAAAUAAUGAUUUCAGUUAUAGAUUUUUAAAAGAUAAAAAUCAGAAGAGAUCCCGUUAGUGACAGGAACACCGGUGAGGCACAGGCAGGGAAAUCACGGCAGGGUGGUGGGCACAAAAGUAGACGUGGUGCCUGGCUUCUCACCCGUGAGAAUAGCCCACAGGCGCCUAACUGGCUCAGCUGAUAGAACAUGUGACUCUUGACCUCAGGGUCGUGAGUUUGAGCCCCACGUUGGGCAUAGGGCUUAUAUUGAGGAGGAGGAGAAGGAGGACCACUGACACCCUGCUAAAGCAUGCUGUCGGGGUUAAUUCACUAGUUCUAAUUGGGUUAUCAGGAUUAAAUGUUGAGUGAAAUGUAGUGUUGGGUUUAUUUAUCCUGUUGGGUUUUUUAAAGGUAUUCUCUGCGCCUAGUAUGGGGGCUUGAAGUCACGACCCCGAGAUCAAGAGUCCUAUGCUCCACCGACUGGGCCGGCCGGGCACCCCUGGCCUAUAUUUCAAGUGAAAUGCCAAGUUGCUGGAAGGGCUCUGAACGUAAAGGCGGGCAUGUCGUCUGCUGCUCAGAAUAAUUGUGAAGUCGCUGACAAAUUGUCCUUAUUGUGCAGCCCUUGGCAGCUUGAACUCUGAAGUUUGCCGUGUGAUCUGCCACGACAUAGUCGUUGGGACACACUUGUCUGCCCUACUUCAGGGAAGUUAUGAGGCUUUGCAGUGUGCAAGUUUCCCGUCCCUCACUGGGUGCUCAGUUCUGUUUAAUAAUGCACUUACACAACAGCUGGUCCGUCCUCCAGUGAAGGACUUUAGAACCAUACUAAGACAAGUGGAACCUGGUCCAGCUGUCCCUCCCUACCCCCAUUUUUCCAGAUGAGGAAACAGGCUUCAAGAGGAAGACCCUUGCCCCAAAAUCAGCAGAGGCUGACAGAAGAGGGACAAAGAAGCAGACAUGUCCUCUCCCUGGGGCUCUUAAAGGAGUGGCCUUUUCCAGGUAGGUGAAAGGGAAGGGCAUGGGCCAAGGUGUGAAGGAGCAGGAUGCUGGGGGGCAAGAGGGGACACUUUAUUGUGGGGUUUGGAGGUGAGGGGAGAAGCAGCAGGACCAGCUUUUGGAGAGCCUGGUGAGCCCAGCUCAGGACCCAAAAAUGACAGCAACCCCUUUCGUGGCAAGGUGGCCAGACCAAGGUGCUCACUGCCUGGUCAACUGGCCACAUGGGCAGAAUCCUAACUGACCGGCAGAUGCCCCCUGCCUCAGUACAGACAAAAAGGAACUGUCAGCUGGGGACAUCACACCCGCUCAUUCCCCCACCUCAAUCAGAAUCAAUAGUCCCUCUGGGUCAGCUGGGCCUGUUCUUCCACUGGCUGAACAAGACGCUGCAUCCAGGUGGGGGUCAGACUAAAGGGCUUUGUCCUUGUGACAGCCCCCGUGACAGCCGGGAUGAAGAAGGGAGCAGGGAGGGUAGGCCCACUCCACCACCCUCAUGGCCCAAGAGAGAUCCAGGGGAGGUCGAGAAGAGGAGCGGGGAAGGCUGGGCAUGCUAACUCUCCCUGUUAGCACUCAGAUGAUUCCAGUUUUGGCUUUUUUAACCUUCCUGCCUUUCUUCCUAUAUGAGGUUUUAGCAGUGAAAUACAUUUUUUUUUUUUAAUUUCCAAAAAUUGCCUCCCAUUUUCUUCUAGACCGUGUUUCCUCCCUACUCACCGAAAGGCUGGAAGCUUUGCCGUGGACUUUUCAGGGCGAGACAUUAAUGGUGGUGAUCUAGACUGGAUCUCACAUAAUUCUCUCCUAAUUCUCCCGUUCACAAGAAAUAAACAAACAUGAAAUCCCUGAACA
RNAcentral lists this long non-coding RNA (4099 nucleotides) under Ursus maritimus (polar bear). RNAcentral describes it as "lncRNA (ENSUMAG00000002486.1)". The stretch from base 2450 to 2522 matches the Rfam family "tRNA". Lineage: Eukaryota; Metazoa; Chordata; Mammalia; Carnivora; Ursidae. The record is from RNAcentral.